Molecule: ribosomal RNA, 550 nt
Filed under: uncultured bacterium
Lineage: Bacteria
Description: bacterial SSU rRNA
Rfam family: Bacterial small subunit ribosomal RNA
Source: RNAcentral
AUUCGAUACUGGGAAGCUAGAGUAUGGGAGAGGAUGGUAGAAUUCCAGGUGUAGCGGUGAAAUGCGUAGAGAUCUGGAGGAAUACCGAUGGCGAAGGCAGCCAUCUGGCCUAAUACUGACGCUGAGGUACGAAAGCAUGGGGAGCAAACAGGAUUAGAUACCCUGGUAGUCCAUGCCGUAAACGAUGUCUACUAGCCGUUGGGGCCUUUGAGGCUUUAGUGGCGCAGCUAACGCGAUAAGUAGACCGCCUGGGGAGUACGGUCGCAAGACUAAAACUCAAAUGAAUUGACGGGGGCCCGCACAAGCGGUGGAGCAUGUGGUUUAAUUCGAUGCAACGCGAAGAACCUUACCUGGUCUUGACAUAGUAAGAACUUUCCAGAGAUGGAUUGGUGCCUUCGGGAACUUACAUACAGGUGCUGCAUGGCUGUCGUCAGCUCGUGUCGUGAGAUGUUGGGUUAAGUCCCGCAACGAGCGCAACCCUUUUCCUUAUUUGCCAGCGGGUUAAGCCGGGAACUUUAAGGAUACUGCCAGUGACAAACUGGAGGAAGGC